This 502-nucleotide long non-coding RNA is filed under the name Trifolium pratense (red clover). RNAcentral describes it as "long non-coding RNA (TPRA_LNC008291)". The record is from RNAcentral. Lineage: Eukaryota; Viridiplantae; Streptophyta; Magnoliopsida; Fabales; Fabaceae.
UAAAAUGAGGCAACCAUAAAGAUUGUUAUAGAGAACAAUAAUUUGUGCUCACAUAUCGGAGAUCUAACAAUUUGGAGAUCAUCAGGAUGUUUGACUCUGAUCCUUUUGGAUGUCUAUAUAUAAUGGACAUUUUAACUCAAGAACUGACUGUAAGUAUUUAUGUUACUUGGUUGCAUAAAGUAAAAGUUUUUGAAAGACAACUCAAGUUAUAUUGUGACAUAAGUCAGUCGGAUAAUGUUUCAACAACUAUUUUAUAAAGUUUGUCGACUUAUUAGUAGUUGUUGAAUGAUAGAACAUAUAGAGAUAAAGUUUAUGCUAGCUAACUCACUAAUCAAAGACGUGACACCUAAGGUCCUUCAUAUUAUUUUUGUCACUAAGGAUGUCUUGGAUUAGUGGGAGUCUCUAAUUUGUUAUGUUCUAACUUUAGUUUUGAUACUGAUACAGAUUUUGUUAAGGUUUUCUGCAGAAAUAAAGUUUGAGGUUAUUAUUAUUAUAACCGGUU